Molecule: small RNA, 1748 nt
Filed under: Pongo abelii (Sumatran orangutan)
Lineage: Eukaryota; Metazoa; Chordata; Mammalia; Primates; Hominidae
Description: retained intron
Source: RNAcentral
ACCGACUGUGUGGAAGCACCAGGCAUCAGAGAUAGAGUCUUCCCUGGCAUUGCAGGAGAGAAUCUGAAGGGAUGAUGGACACAUCAAAAGAGCUGCAAGUUCUCCACGUUGACUUCUUGAAGCAGGAGAACGCCGUUUCUCACCACACGUGGGAGUUCCAAACGAGCAGUCCUGUGUUCCGGCGAGGGCAGGUGUUUCACCUGCGGCUGGUGCUGAACCAGCCCCUACAAUCUUACCACCAACUGAAACUGGAAUUCAGCACAGGGCCAAAUCCUAGCCUCGCCAAACACACCCUGGUGGUGCUCGACCCGAGGACGCCCUCGGACCACUACAACUGGCAGGCAACCCUUCAAAAUGAAUCUGGCAAAGAGGUGAGCACCCACCAGGCUGGCGGGUGGGCUGGCUGGCUUCUGGUGGAAUGCUCCUAAUGUGAGCAGCCCCUAUCCCCUUCCUCACCUGUCAGCUGGUAACGUGGUUUAAAGCCAUCCACAGCAGAGCAUGAUAGAGGGGCCAUGGCUCCAAAUGUCUGUUUCCCCACUCAGCCUCCUCCAAGCACACAGUAUCUCUGUGGGCAAACCUCCUACAUGUCACCCUUCCUCUUUCCAUUUCAAAGGGAACAAUGUUCACUGGAGGACAUGAGCGGAGAAAAGUACAUAAAAAUAACCCAUGGUUCCACCAACUAAGUUACCCAUCCUUCCUUCCAGGCUUUUUCUGUGUCAUGGUCAAAUACAAAAUGGGGGUCCAUCUCAUGCUUCACUCACUUGACAAGACCUAAUGGAUGUUUCCCACAGUGGCUUCUGCCCAAGUGUGUGGCUUACGGUGGCCGGUUUUCCACCCUUUUGGGGAGCACUGGGUGUUUACAGUUGUCUCCAAUCUUCCAGUGUUGUAAAGAACCAUCUCUCAGCCAGAUCUUUGCACUGGCUUAUGGAUAUUUCCUUGGGCUAAAUUCCUAGAAGUUUAAUGCUAGGCUAAUGCCAUGAUUUAAAAAUGGCAAUUACAUUGGGUUUUUGUAGAAGCAGAAUCUGCUGGUGGAAAUGAGAUGAAUGGGCCAGCUGCUGCUGGAAUCCUCCCUAGUGCCCCGGCCUCUUCCUUCCUCUCUCUCCCAUCCAGAUCCCAGACUCUCAACCCCAAUUUUGCAUUUGAGUGUUUUUCAGGGUAUCAUGAAAAUCUUUCCCGAGGUGGGCAUGGGUUGUGGGCAGGAGCUGCAUUUCUUUACUCAAAAAGUGUUAUUUUAAAAGUUUUUUUUUUAAUUGACAUAUAACACACAUAAAAGACACAAAUCUUAAUGGUUUGCACAAUGAAUUUUUACAUAUGAAUACAGCCGUGGGACCACCAGCCAGAUCAAGGUGAAGGCCAUUUCCUGCACCCUGGAAGGCUGGUUCUCCUGUGCUCCAUUGUAAUGAACAGUGAGGGCACAACCUCCUCCCUCUUGCCACAAGAGGGGUGUGGGGAGUUAGCCUUGUGGAUUCUGGAGUUGUAGCACAGUGAGUUUGAUCCCAGCUCCACCUCUUGGGCUACCUCUGUGAACCUCAGUUUCCCCACCAGCAAAAUAAUAACAAACAUUUAUAUAUAUUAGCUCAUUUAAUUUUCACAAUGCUCCCACAAAGAAGGGGGGAGCCUGUUAUCAUUCCAAAUUUUUAAACAAGAAAACUGAGGCACAGGAGAGGUUAAGUAACCCGCCAAGGUCAUACAGCCAGUAAGAGGUAGAGCUGGCCAGCCUGGGCAACUAGGGCUACCCCAUCUCUACU